CAGCCGCCAUGAGGCCUCCCCUCAGCUCCUCUGCUCUGGGCUGAGCAGACCCAGGGACGUCAGCUGCUCCUCAUCUUCCUCUCGAGACCCUCCACCAUCUUUGUAGCCCUCUGUAGAAAAGUAAACUUCUCUAACUGGAGAGAGCUAAACAGGUUAUGCAUUGUUUGAAAUGGGAAAAUGAAAUUUGCAGAGGGCUUUUUGAUAAUACUGUACUGUAGGGAAAAAGAAACUGUUCGGGUAGCUUUGCUUGAAGUGUUUGUUUUUAUCAAAGAUAUCACCAGAUUUGUAUCAAUAUGCUUAUUAUUUUUUUAAAACCAAAACAGACCUACUUUCAGAGAGUGGUGAGGCACUGGCACAGGCUGCCCAGAGAAGCUGUGGACACCCAUCCCUGGUGGCAUUUAAGACCAGGUUCACUGGGGCCCUGGGCAGCCUGAGCUGGUGGGGGGUAGGCCUGCGCAUGGCAAUGGGUUGGAACUAGAUGAUCUUCUGACCCAAGCCAUUCUAUGAUUCUACAAUUCUAUGCUUUUAAGAUUCUAUGUUUUUAUGAUCCUAUGAUUUUAUAUGCAUUGGCUACACAUUGUAGCCAUGUCUGCACCUUUGUUAAGGUGCUGUGACAUGUACACCAUGCAUGCUCCAGCAUUCAAAGAAGCCUCCUCUCUGUGCUGGGGUGUCUCAACAUUCAGAGAACCUGUCACACUCUGCAACCGAUUGCUUAUUCACACCUCACCAACUUGGAAAUGAAAACUUGGCCCCCUGCAAUCAGCAGAAAGAUGCUUCACUGUGAUAACUUCCCUGACCAAAGGGAGAUAAAACAGGGACAAAACCAGCAACAGCCUAAGAGAGCUUUUUUCUCUAGUGCUAUUUCAUAAGCAGAAAAGUAUCAGAGAAUCAGAAUACAUAGAGAUAAGCUAAUGAGAUAAUCACAAAAAUGAAGUACUUUUCUCAUAAUAAUAGUCUUGGAGAGAACAACUUGUAGAACCUAGGAAAAUACAGGCUGAUAGUGUGAGGGAGGAAAGCAAAUGUUUUGAGUGAAGUUGGUGGAAAAAUGUACAACUAUAAUUCAGCCAGGAAUAAAUAUAAGCUAGAAGCUAGAAGGAAGGCUCACCAGGGAUUUCUAAAUUUAGGAACAGCCUCUGUCAUGAGUGGUGAGGACCAAAAAAUCCCAACAACUUUUAAGAUUGAAUGAUUUCAGUUCAUGACAGAGAUUGCAAGAAGUGGUUAUGUAUGAUAGCAGGGCAUUAAAUUCGGGGAGUCACAAUCCCCCUGGUUCUCCUGUGUUAAUGGCAGCAGAACUAAGCUAGAAGAUAAGAUGGAUUGUCAGAAUUCACACUGCAUUAAAAGAAAGACAAGAAUUCCAUGAGUUUACACAGCUUAUGGUCGGAACUAUUUCAUUCACAAGGGGCCAUAAUCUGAUGUUCAAUAUUUACAUUUAAGAUGCUAAAAUAAGAUGUGACUAACUAGACACCAAUCCUUGCUCAAGUGAUUUUUCUGAAUUAGCAAUGAUAUAAAGCCGAGUAAUCUAGAUGGAGAGAUCCAAAACAGUCCAUGCCAGCAUGUUCUAAAGCAUGGUAGUUAGUCCCAUAUUAAAAGCCCUCAGGUAGUCAAAGUAAGUCCAAUCAAAUGCACCUUCUGAGUAAUUGUUCCAAUCACCGACAUGGGGAAUAAUUGAAACCAUGACAUUACUUCCUCAGUUUGGAAAAUUUAGCCCUUCCUUGGCUUUCUGUUCUGUACAAAAAAUAGCAAAAAAUAUUUUGUGUGUUAUUUUAAACCACCAAAGAAAAUUAAAAAACAAACAAAACAAAACAAACAGAACAACAGAAGCAUAGCAAAUGAUACACAGCACACUUGCUCACCAUUAGCCAACUGAUGCUCAGCCCGUCACCAAGCAACAGCAGGUCUCUCAGCCAACUUCCCCACUCUCACUCUUCAGCACGACACCACAUGGUACUGGACAUUCCUUUGACCAAUUUAGGUCAGCUGUCCUGGCCAUGUGCCCUCCCAGCUCAUGUGCAGCCCCAGUCCCCUCACUGGCAGGGCAGCACAAGAAGCUGAGAUGUCCCUGGCUCUGUGCAGCACAGUACAGAAACAUCACAGAGUUAUCAGCGCUAUUUUCAUUACAAGUCCAAAUCACAGGACAAUAUGAACUACUGUGAAGAAAAUUAAUUCUAGCCCAACCAAACUAGAGCAGUAAGACACGAUUAAAGGUGAUCUAGAAAUGCAAAGGUCUUGCUUACAAUUCAAAACACAAUACUUAAGGCACUGCUUCUGUACACUAUUCAGCCAGCUUGUGCCUAUUGAACACUGUUUUCAUACUGCUGGUCUGAAAUAUGCCAGGGAAGAUUUCCUCCAAUUAACCAGGAAACAAGACUGUAGCACUAGCUGCGAUGCUGCAAUAAAGAGAAGUUGCCUGUCUCAUCUGACUGUGUUGCCUCAGUUCUUGUAAGUAUUCCUUCUGACACACCAGACAAAACUCUGCAUUCAUAUUUAGGGAGAUCUGGCAUCACAGUGGUGACACCCUAGGUCUACUCUGUACAAGCAGAAUUUACUUCACAUUUGGUCUUGAUAAAAUCAAUUUAGUUUUCUCCUUUUUCUUUCCUCCAAGGAAUCUUCACCUAAAUAUAAAAAAUAUAAAAAAUGCUGGUUCUUCCAUAAUCCACAUUAGCUUCUCAGUUAAUUGCCAACAUUUAUGCUUCAUCUAUACUUGGGUUUUUUAAACCUCUUGAUUUUCAACUUGAAAAGGUUGAAACAGAGUGUGUUGGAGACUCCCUGUCACAGCAAGUUUCCCCAGGGGGUGUGGCCAAAGGCUGAGUGGGAUUUUUUUCAAAGGCCGUAUCAGAAUUGCUCUUUGAAUUCAGACACUGAAGUUGUUCUCUGGCAAAAAGUAGUCUGCAACAAUCUGUCAGAUCUUUUGCAGACUUGCAUAUCUGCUCAUUGGAAACAGCAUAUAUAAGAAAUAACUUGCAAAAACAAUUUGUGAGUGUAGCUCUUUCUUAGACACAUAGAAGAACGAUACAGGACUUCAGCAUGUAGUACUAAUAGACCAAAAUUGAGUUGGAAUUUUUUAUGAUAUUGAAUUUGUUGAAUAUGCACAAAACAGAUCAACUGUAGUCAAUAUAAACCUUUUUUUUUUUCAUCAGAUAAACAAAAAACUAAUUGAGAACAAAAAUAAACACACUCAACCAGAAGCAAAUGAAGACCUCAACUGCCUGCACUUCAGAAAAGUACAGCUCCCAGUGUUGCUACCAACAACGAAGAUACAGCAUAUCUGCAGUGCUGAUGUUAAUUUGAGUGGGAAAAGAAGGCAGAAGGAGAAGAGAGGCAGGUUCUGCUGCUACUAUUUUUUCUACAGUAUCCAAACAUUCAUGUUAGAGUAAGUCUCAAACUUUGCCUGACUUUUGAUGUCAGUAUCUCUAAUUCACAUUGACAUUUAGCCUAGACUUUUGAAGAUGCUUAAAUCACCUACUGAAUUUGCACUGCUGAUAUCUUAUACACCUUUAAGAAUCUUGUUGUGACUUCUUGCAGACAGCAAGGGUGACAGUUUCUACUUUUUACAAAUGUGAAGUUAGGAUUUUGUAAACAUAUUUAAUAAACAGAAACUCAAAAGUCCAUCACAUUAACAAGCAGGUUAUUUAAAUUCAACCAAUGCAAUUACAGCUAGUGGACUGAAAAGGAAGUUAGAAGAGGAAGUGUAGAGAAUAGACUAUAGACAGUGUAAUGUUGAUGGUAAUCAUUAUGCUUUUUUUCAGAGAAGAUGAAGAACUCUCUGCUUGCAGCUAUCAUUUUAUUUGCAGCAGAUUCCUGUGACUGUUUAAACUGGGAUUUUCCAUUUUGCAAGCAGCUUCCAGGUGCGUAAACAUUUCUCACAUGGUAACUACUUAAUGACAAAGAUGAAGACCUUUGCUGAUGGAAAUCUGUCAGCUGAAGUGAUUUGCAUUUGAAAUAUGGCACAGGGCUUUUUGGUUGAAAUUCAGAAUGUAGAAGCUGUGAAUUUCUGACCCUUUCACAAGACCUGCCUCACCAUUGCAGGGCUGCAGGCACACGGUCUAUCCCUGUUUCUAGUUUCUGGGGGCCUCCUAGUGGCCUCCUUGAAGGACACUAACAUCUGUAACAUUGAUAUUGACAAACUUUUACGGUUUAGAUUUAAUUAAUACAUUACUGUCAAUGGCAAAAUGGAUCAUUCAAAUAUGUAUCAGUAGAGGGUAUUUCAUAGCAGCUAGUGGUCAUGUUGAAUUUAUUGUAGGCAGAAAUAAUUCUACUUGCUAAGAGCCACAGCAGGGAAAAUACAUUUUUUAGUACAUAGUACUGGAUGAGACAUCAUAGUAAGACUGUAUUUUUCUGAUACUAGCCACGCAUUAUUUUCUAAGCCUUGCUAUUAUCCCAUUAGACUAAAUUUUAAAGCGCUACUGAGAAUACCAGACAAAUGAGAAGAAAAACAACUCUAGAGUGGAAAAACUAUGCCUCAUCUGUCUGCCUUCUGUUUCUUUGUUUUAAAGAGGAAAUUAGAUUGUGAUAUCUUUGGUACAGGGGAAUUUUUCUCUUUGUACACCCGAGUGCUGUCUUGGUACAAACCUAAAACUAUUUCAAGGUGUAGGGGAGCUAACAAUAUAUAUCUUCUUUCAGGGAAAGCAGUACAGUAAAACCAAAAAUGAAUAGGAAUAAACUGAAUGUGUACGUACACUAAAUCUCACAACUGUAGGACAUGUGAAAACACAGUAACAAGGUAUUGUCAGCUGAAGAGUGUAAUACAGGACUUGAGUAUAUUGGCUGGGGCAGCAGGUGUGGGGUAAGCUAAUACACAGUUUCUAUACAUAAAAGAUACUCUGCUACUAUUUUGUCUUGAUUAUUUUUAAAUUCUCUCACAGGGGAAAAUGUUUUUUUCUGAUAAGAUCAAGAGCAUGAAAAACAACACAAGCCCCUACUCUUUACGCAGAGACAGGUCUGCAACAGUGUGGUCACCACUUGGAUCUCAGUUAAUAGAAAUUAUCUGGAGAAGAAGUUAACAGAAAUUAUGUAGAAGGGUGAAAAGAUUUUCAUUAGAUUUCAUCCUCAGCAACCUCUCCAGAACUAAUAUUUCACCCAUUUCAAGAGUGGCAUAUUACAAACGUACUGACAUGAAGUGUUAGAGCAGUUCCAAAAAGGUUUUUUUUUUCCAGGUGUUCCUUUAAAAGAAAAUAAGAAUUACCAAGCCAAUGAAAGGCUCAAUUCAGAGUAAAAGAAGAGUAGAAUAUGAAAGCAGUUGCUCCUUUUGCUGGUUCUUACAGCACCAUGCAAGUGAGCAAGAUUUGGUUUGGUUGUUGGACUAGAAAGCAAAGAAUUCCCUAAUUAUUCAUAUUGCUCUAGAAACAAGCAAGACCUGAUCUCCACCUUCCAAAAAGGAAGCUGCACAUGCCUAUGAACUAAUGCAUCAAAAUUUCAUUGGAAAUGCACAUUUCUUCUGGUAGGAGAAAGAGGUGUUGGGGGAUGGUGAUCUUAAUUCAGAGCUAUACUGACAUACUUUCUCAUCUAAAUCUGCUGUUAAUUUAAAUAUAUAACUGACACCUGAACAUUGAAGUAAAUACCAAGGAUAGCUUGUAAUUCAGGUUAAAUGAAGAAAUCAUUCUGAAUAUGGAAAAGAGGAGGACCAAUCUUUUAGCACAUAACUUGGCUGAAUCUGAUAACUGAUCUGUAAUACUAAUUCCAGAGACAUAUAUUUACUAAUUGAAUAUCAAACAUUUCCUCUUUAAUACUGAUAAAUUUAUUGGCAGCUUACUAAACUCAUUACAUACAAGAAAGACAAGGUCCUAUUCAUUAUGAAAAAAUAGUUACAUUGAGUAUUCAUGCAUUUUGAGAUCCUUAUCUACUUUUCUGAAAAAAAAAGAAGAAAAAAACCACCCACAUUUCAUUUCUGCACCUUUUUUUGAAAAGUGUGGGUGAUACUUGGGCUGAUUCUUCUGACAGUCUUCAGACAGUAAAAUACAAAGCAAAAGGAGAACAGUCAGAUUUUAUGACUACAGUUUCUGAUAAGAGAUUUCUGAAAUACUAAAGUAUGCUUAACCACUACAGACUAAUGGAUCCUUUAAGAACAUCAUCAGUGUUCAAAUUCCCCUUGGCUGAACCACAGAUAUGCUCAACUGCAAAAAAACAACAACAACAAAAAAACAACCAACUCCUUUUUACCAAAAAUUAAGCACAAGUCAUUCUGUGUGAAAACUCACGUUCCUGCUUUGUAAUGUGAUUUUUAUGAGUCUGGUAGCUUACAGCAGUCUAUGGUUCUCCAGCAAUUAUUCUAAACUCCACAGAGAGAUGAUUGAUAAUUUUGGACUAAUUCUGGAGUCUGGUCAAUCCAUUCCAUUGCUGAAAAUUAGUCCUAUGCUACAGUGAUAUAAUAAUUUGCAAGAAACUCCCCAGUAAUUUUUACAGGUUGGACACUGCAGAAAUACCACAUUUGUCCUCGGUGUUGAUCACCAAAAUGCAAGCCCUCUCUUUUUUCCCCCACACUUAAAAUUAAUUAAGAAAUAAAUUAUUGCAUGGAAUUAAUUUCUAAGAUGUGAGGUCUAUGAGACCCUCAGUUCCAGCCUACACUUUCCAAAAUGUCUACAAACUCAUGUUUAGCACUCAGUAAGUUGCUACCGACAAAGCUACUGCCACAUCCAGUCUGUAGCCCUGCCAACAAACAGGAUCUUCCCCCACACAAGGCAGAUGCUCCUUGUUCUGCAAGGUCCUCAAGCCAUAGUGACUCCCCAGGGGACGUGGUUUGCUCUGAGGAUCUGGAGCAACCUCCCAUAAGGCACUGUCUCAUACAUGUUCCAGGAAACAGCUGAGUGGUGCCACACAGUUCCUUUUCCCAGUCUGUCACAUUAGCAGAGACACUGAGGGCACAACAGGAACUGCCUGACAGGGGUGAAACCACAGAAAAGAGCUGGGAGGCAAAAACCGAAGGUAUGCUAGGGUAGAGGUGCACAGCAAUUUUGUCAUAUGCUACAGGAAAAUUACCUUUCAAGAGCGUUCCUCAAAGUUACCCCAACAGAUGAUGAAAAGAUAGAAAUGCUUCCUUGCAUUCCAGAAAUUAUUUUAUGCCAGGGAAUGCAGUAGUGCUUCCCACAGUACGAAGGCACUCAAAUCAGACUUAAAGAAAAACAGUUCAAGCGCUAAAUAAGUGCAGAGGCAAGCAGGAAGCAAAACUGUCACUGCUGUGGGAGAGAAGUGCCCCUCAAAGGUGUCACAACACUGAAGCUGCAGGAAAGCAAGUAUUUCCGCACUGCGUUGUUUGGCACAGAAGAGAUCUCAAAGGAAACAUAAAACAUAGGGAGAAUGGUCCUUUUUCUACAUUUUCUACAUCUGUUUUACUUGGAAACAUGACUGAUCAUGUUUAAUCUCUUAAAUGACUCUGUCCCUUGUUUAAAUGUUAGUAAGCUGCUUGCCUUGAGAAUAAACAUGGCAUAAGGCUCAUACAGCAGCUACUUGUUUCAUUUUACAAAAGAUAUAGCUUGUUUUAUAUUUUUUGUCUUUUCAUUCUCCUAGUCUUCUUGCCCCUGUUGAUGGUAAAUAGUUGUUGGUGAUGGGUCUUUUCUAGUCUGUAUAUUUAAUCUUGCAGAUUGGGACAAUGAAUUGGCAUGUUACAAAGAACUAAGUGAGGAUCUAACCUGUACCUGGCUGCCAGCACCCAGUGUUCCAAAUAGUAUUAAUUAUACCUUAUUCUUAAAAUGGUAAGUCUAAAAGUAACUUCAGAAAAUGAAAAGUUAUCAUUGCUGUCUGGUGAUUCCUACCUGCCUAAAUUUUUUCAUACAUAUUUAAUCACGCUGUAGGUUGUUACACAGUACGGAUCAAGCCUUGCCUCACACCUCAUCAGUUCUUACUGACUUGGUAAGAGCCGCACAUUUCAAACUGCAAGGAGAGUGACAUUGGCAAGCACACACGGUACUAAGCAGACACUUACGUUAGCUUUAUAAUCAAUGCAGAAACAGCUAGAACCUGUGCUUGAACAUAACAGAUUUACAGAAAAGUUUGAAAUAGGUGCACAGAGUCAACAACUAUUUGUCUAAUCUGAGGAAGAGUGAUGUACCAUUUUCUAAUUUCAUGAGGAGUGCCCAGUAAAGCUACUCAGGACUGAAUUGAGAGGACCUCAGCUCUGUAG
This is a long non-coding RNA of Numida meleagris (helmeted guineafowl), 8113 nucleotides long. RefSeq lists it as uncharacterized. Lineage: Eukaryota; Metazoa; Chordata; Aves; Galliformes; Numididae. The transcript is spliced from 3 exons. The record is from RefSeq and is a predicted model, not a curated record.